GGCGGCGCAGGCAAAAGGUAAGCCACACGGGGUUGCAAUUCGUGAUAAUUGGGUUCGAUUCCCAACGCCGCCU
This 73-nucleotide transfer RNA is filed under the name Acidobacteriota bacterium. RNAcentral's name for it is "Acidobacteria bacterium (soil metagenome) tRNA-Ala". It matches the Rfam family "tRNA". Rfam says of the family: Transfer RNA (tRNA) molecules are approximately 80 nucleotides in length. Their secondary structure includes four short double-helical elements and three loops (D, anti-codon, and T loops). Further hydrogen bonds mediate the characteristic L-shaped molecular structure. tRNAs have two regions of fundamental functional importance: the anti-codon, which is responsible for specific mRNA codon recognition, and the 3' end, to which the tRNAs corresponding amino acid is attached (by aminoacyl-tRNA synthetases). tRNAs cope with the degeneracy of the genetic code in two manners: having more than one tRNA (with a specific anti-codon) for a particular amino acid; and 'wobble' base-pairing, i.e. permitting non-standard base-pairing at the 3rd anti-codon position. Lineage: Bacteria; Pseudomonadati; Acidobacteriota. The record is from RNAcentral.